UACGAAGGGGGCUAGCGUUGUUCGGAAUUACUGGGCGUAAAGGGCUGGUAGGCGGCCAACUAAGUCGGAUGUGAAAUCCCCAGGCUUAACCUGGGAACUGCAUCCGAUACUGGUCGGCUUGAAUCCGGGAGAGGGAUGCAGAAUUCCAGGUGUAGCGGUGAAAUGCGUAGAUAUCUGGAGGAAUACCGGUGGCGAAGGCGGCAUCCUGGACCGGCAUUGACGCUGAACAGCGAAAGCUAGGGGAGCAAACGGG
This 253-nucleotide ribosomal RNA is filed under the name uncultured bacterium. Its description in RNAcentral is "partial 16S ribosomal RNA". It matches the Rfam family "Bacterial small subunit ribosomal RNA", at positions 524 to 776 of the family's 1533-position model. The record is from RNAcentral.